UAGUCAUAUGCUUGUCUCAAAGAUUAAGCCAUGCAUGUCUAAGUAUAAGCAAUCUAUACGGUGAAACUGCGAAUGGCUCAUUAAAUCAGUUAUCGUUUAUUUGAUAGUACCUUACUACUUGGAUAACCGUGGUAAUUCUAGAGCUAAUACAUGCUAAAAACCCCGACUUCGGAAGGGGUGUAUUUAUUAGAUAAAAAACCAAUGCCCUUCGGGGCUCCUUGGUGAUUCAUAAUAACUUAACGAAUCGCAUGGCCUUGUGCCGGCGAUGGUUCAUUCAAAUUUCUGCCCUAUCAACUUUCGAUUGUAAGGUAGUGGCUUACAAUGGUUUCAACGGGUAACGGGGAAUUAGGGUUCUAUUCCGGAGAGGGAGCCUGAGAAACGGCUACCACAUCCAAGGAAGGCAGCAGGCGCGCAAAUUACCCAAUCCCGACACGGGGAGGUAGUGACAAUAAAUACUGAUACAGGGCUCUUUUGGGUCUUGUAAUUGGAAUGAGUACAAUUUAAAUCCCUUAACGAGGAACCAAAUU
Molecule: ribosomal RNA, 527 nt
Filed under: uncultured eukaryote
Lineage: Eukaryota
Description: SSU rRNA
Rfam family: Eukaryotic small subunit ribosomal RNA
Source: RNAcentral